This 492-nucleotide ribosomal RNA is filed under the name uncultured bacterium. RNAcentral's name for it is "partial 16S ribosomal RNA". It matches the Rfam family "Bacterial small subunit ribosomal RNA", at positions 29 to 507 of the family's 1533-position model. The record is from RNAcentral.
AGUGAACGCUGGCGGUAGGCCUAACACAUGCAAGUCGAACGGCAGCACAGUAAGAGCUUGCUCUUACGGGUGGCGAGUGGCGGACGGGUGAGGAAUACAUCGGAAUCUACUUUUUCGUGGGGGAUAACGUAGGGAAACUUACGCUAAUACCGCAUACGACCUACGGGUGAAAGCAGGGGAUCUUCGGACCUUUCGCGAUUGAAUGAGCCGAUGUCGGAUUAGCUAGUUGGCGGGGUAAAGGCCCACCAAGGCGACGAUCCGUAGAUGGUCUGAGAGGAUGAUCAGCCACACUGGAACUGAGACACGGUCCAGACUCCUACGGGAGGCAGCAGUGGGGAAUAUUGGACAAUGGGCGCAAGCAUGAUCCAGCCAUACCGCGUGGGUGAAGAAGGCCUUCGGGUUGUAAAGCCCUUUUGUUGGGAAAGAAAAGCAGCAGGUUAAUACCCCGCUGUUCUGACGGUACCCAAAGAAUAAGCACCGGCUAACUUCGUG